UGUAAUCUGAACUGGCAGCAUCAGGUUGCAUCUUUCUGCCUAUUGGCAUGUGUGAUGGUUUAUCUCUAGACUGUUCAUGAAUCAUUCAGCAUGGCAGGGAGAGAGCUUCCUGUAUGCCUUCAAGCUGUCUCUGAGCCCUGGACAGCAAACUGACAUGAUGUGCUCGUUCAGGGUUUGCCUCUGCUGGCCUACCUUACUUUGCUGGUUCCUUGCCCCAAGACUGAGCACUGCUGUUGGAUCAAACGUAACUAAGACUUCCUGAAAGAUCUUCCUGCAAACCAGAGUCUGGGGGCAACUACAGAGAAUGCACGGUCACCUCUACACUUAUACUUCGACCUAGGGAUAACCAACAGUCUCUGUUUGGACGACCGACGUGAUCUGGUGGGAAAAUGUUCAAUCAACAGGUCAGAAAGUAGUGAACUUGCCCGCGAAAAACUGACCAAUGGCA
Sinocyclocheilus rhinocerous is the source of this 448-nucleotide long non-coding RNA. RefSeq lists it as uncharacterized. The record is from RefSeq and is a predicted model, not a curated record. The transcript has 3 exons. Lineage: Eukaryota; Metazoa; Chordata; Actinopteri; Cypriniformes; Cyprinidae.